CCGCACGCGUCGGGAGAGCGCGCUGGCCGCUGAAAACCGCAGGCCGCGCCGCCGAAGGGGCACACCCGCAAACUCUCAGGCAAAAGGACCGACCGCGUCGAA
Molecule: non-coding RNA, 102 nt
Organism: Paraburkholderia terricola
Lineage: Bacteria; Pseudomonadati; Pseudomonadota; Betaproteobacteria; Burkholderiales; Burkholderiaceae
Source: Rfam